AAAUAGUGACAACAGGGAUGAUAGUCACAGAACGUGAUAUAUGGAUUUGUGAGAUCGUUACGCCGAUGAAGUGAUAGUUUCCGUUUACAGCAAUACUACUAUAGAAGUACUAUGUUAUAACGAAACCAUUUCGAACUGCUACGAUACUUCUCGCUGUACUUCAUGCGAUAAAACAGCCCUGCUGGAUAUCCUCCCCGUGCUGUUACUGUACCGAUUGUCGUCGCUUUGUCUUGGGAUUGAUCGAUCUUCGUAAACUUCCUCCCCAUGCCGCACCUAUAGUUCGAAUUUAAUCGAGGGAGUAUCAGCGAGAUGUGUCUUUUCCCUGGAGGAGCAUCGACGACGACGCGUCCGAAGAGAUAUCAGGACGAAAUGCCCUGAGUCCACAUUUAUACCAACGAUGGAGUGCAGGGCAGCACAUUUUCCACGAAAGGGCAGAUAUCGAUGUUCCGAUAAUGAAGAUCGAACGUUUUCAUCGAAAGAGAGUGUAAGGCGAAGAUGAGAGUGAAAGUUUGCAUUGAA
Molecule: long non-coding RNA, 519 nt
Organism: Orussus abietinus
Lineage: Eukaryota; Metazoa; Arthropoda; Insecta; Hymenoptera; Orussidae
Exons: 3
Source: RefSeq, a predicted model, not a curated record